This 29-nucleotide non-coding RNA is filed under the name Homo sapiens (human). The record is from RNAcentral. Lineage: Eukaryota; Metazoa; Chordata; Mammalia; Primates; Hominidae.
UGAAGCCAGUGAGGGCAGGAGAACCUACC